UUAAGCGACUAAGCGUACACGGUGGAUGCCCUGGCAGUCAGAGGCGAUGAAGGACGUGCUAAUCUGCGAAAAGCGUCGGUAAGGUGAUAUGAACCGUUACAGCCGGCGAUGUCCGAAUGGGGAAACCCAGUGUGAUUCGUCACACUAUCGUUAACUGAAUACAUAGGUUAACGAGGCGAACCGGGGGAACUGAAACAUCUAAGUACCCCGAGGAAAAGAAAUCAACCGAGAUUCCCCCAGUAGCGGCGAGCGAACGGGGAGCAGCCCAGAGUCUGAAUCAGCUUGUGUGUUAGUGGAACGGUCUGGAAAGUCCGACGGUACAGGGUGAUAGUCCCGUACACCAAAAUGCACAGGUUGUGAACUCGAAGAGUAGGGCGGGACACGUGGUAUCCUGUCUGAAUAUGGGGGGACCAUCCUCCAAGGCUAAAUACUCCUGACUGACCGAUAGUGAACCAGUACCGUGAGGGAAAGGCGAAAAGAACCCCGGCGAGGGGAGUGAAAAAGAACCUGAAACCGUGUACGUACAAGCAGUGGGAGCACCUUCGGGUGUGACUGCGUACCUUUUGUAUAAUGGGUCAGCGACUUAUAUUCUGUAGCAAGGUUAACCGUAUAGGGGAGCCGCAGGGAAACCGAGUCUUAACUGGGCGUUAAGUUGCAGGGUAUAGACCCGAAACCCGGUGAUCUAGCCAUGGGCAGGUUGAAGGUUGGGUAACACUAACUGGAGGACCGAACCGACUAAUGUUGAAAAAUUAGCGGAUGACUUGUGGCUGGGGGUGAAAGGCCAAUCAAACCGGGAGAUAGCUGGUUCUCCCCGAAAGCUAUUUAGGUAGCGCCUCGUGAACUCAUCUUCGGGGGUAGAGCACUGUUUCGGCUAGGGGGUCAUCCCGACUUACCAACCCGAUGCAAACUACGAAUACCGAAGAAUGUUAUCACGGGAGACACACGGCGGGUGCUAACGUCCGUCGUGAAGAGGGAAACAACCCAGACCGCCAGCUAAGGUCCCAAAGUCAUGGUUAAGUGGGAAACGAUGUGGGAAGGCACAGACAGCCAGGAUGUUGGCUUAGAAGCAGCCAUCAUUUAAAGAAAGCGUAAUAGCUCACUGGUCGAGUCGGCCUGCGCGGAAGAUGUAACGGGGCUAAACCAUGCACCGAAGCUGCGGCAGCGACACUAUGUGUUGUUGGGUAGGGGAGCGUUCUGUAAGCCUGCGAAGGUGUGCUGUGAGGCAUGCUGGAGGUAUCAGAAGUGCGAAUGCUGACAUAAGUAACGAUAAAGCGGGUGAAAAGCCCGCUCGCCGGAAGACCAAGGGUUCCUGUCCAACGUUAAUCGGGGCAGGGUGAGUCGACCCCUAAGGCGAGGCCGAAAGGCGUAGUCGAUGGGAAACAGGUUAAUAUUCCUGUACUUGGUGUUACUGCGAAGGGGGGACGGAGAAGGCUAUGUUAGCCGGGCGACGGUUGUCCCGGUUUAAGCAUGUAGGCUGGUUAUCCAGGCAAAUCCGGAUAAUCAAGGCUGAGGUGUGAUGACGAGGCACUACGGUGCUGAAGUAACAAAUGCCCUGCUUCCAGGAAAAGCCUCUAAGCAUCAGGUAACAUCAAAUCGUACCCCAAACCGACACAGGUGGUCAGGUAGAGAAUACCAAGGCGCUUGAGAGAACUCGGGUGAAGGAACUAGGCAAAAUGGUGCCGUAACUUCGGGAGAAGGCACGCUGGUGUGUAGGUGAAGUCCCUGCGGAUGGAGCUGAGACCAGUCGAAGAUACCAGCUGGCUGCAACUGUUUAUUAAAAACACAGCACUGUGCAAACACGAAAGUGGACGUAUACGGUGUGACGCCUGCCCGGUGCCGGAAGGUUAAUUGAUGGGGUUAUCCGUAAGGAGAAGCUCUUGAUCGAAGCCCCGGUAAACGGCGGCCGUAACUAUAACGGUCCUAAGGUAGCGAAAUUCCUUGUCGGGUAAGUUCCGACCUGCACGAAUGGCGUAAUGAUGGCCAGGCUGUCUCCACCCGAGACUCAGUGAAAUUGAACUCGCUGUGAAGAUGCAGUGUACCCGCGGCAAGACGGAAAGACCCCGUGAACCUUUACUAUAGCUUGACACUGAACAUUGAGCCUUGAUGUGUAGGAUAGGUGGGAGGCUUUGAAGCGUGGACGCCAGUCUGCGUGGAGCCAACCUUGAAAUACCACCCUUUAAUGUUUGAUGUUCUAACGUUGGCCCCUGACCGGGGUUGCGGACAGUGUCUGGUGGGUAGUUUGACUGGGGCGGUCUCCUCCCAAAGCGUAACGGAGGAGCACGAAGGUUAGCUAAUCCUGGUCGGACAUCAGGAGGUUAGUGCAAUGGCAUAAGCUAGCUUGACUGCGAGCGUGACGGCGCGAGCAGGUGCGAAAGCAGGUCAUAGUGAUCCGGUGGUUCUGAAUGGAAGGGCCAUCGCUCAACGGAUAAAAGGUACUCCGGGGAUAACAGGCUGAUACCGCCCAAGAGUUCAUAUCGACGGCGGUGUUUGGCACCUCGAUGUCGGCUCAUCACAUCCUGGGGCUGAAGUAGGUCCCAAGGGUAUGGCUGUUCGCCAUUUAAAGUGGUACGCGAGCUGGGUUUAGAACGUCGUGAGACAGUUCGGUCCCUAUCUGCCGUGGGCGCUGGAGAAUUGAGGGGGGCUGCUCCUAGUACGAGAGGACCGGAGUGGACGCAUCACUGGUGUUCGGGUUGUCAUGCCAAUGGCACUGCCCGGUAGCUAAAUGCGGAAGAGAUAAGUGCUGAAAGCAUCUAAGCACGAAACUUGCCCCGAGAUGAGUUCUCCCUGAGACUUUAAGUCUCCUGAAGGAACGUUGAAGACGACGACGUUGAUAGGCCGGGUGUGUAAGCGCAGCGAUGCGUUGAGCUAACCGGUACUAAUGAACCGUGAGGCUUAACCUU
This 2900-nucleotide ribosomal RNA is filed under the name Klebsiella pneumoniae. RNAcentral describes it as "bacterial LSU rRNA". It matches the Rfam family "Bacterial large subunit ribosomal RNA". The record is from RNAcentral. Lineage: Bacteria; Pseudomonadati; Pseudomonadota; Gammaproteobacteria; Enterobacterales; Enterobacteriaceae.